Sinocyclocheilus anshuiensis is the source of this 351-nucleotide long non-coding RNA. RefSeq lists it as uncharacterized. The transcript has 3 exons. Lineage: Eukaryota; Metazoa; Chordata; Actinopteri; Cypriniformes; Cyprinidae. The record is from RefSeq and is a predicted model, not a curated record.
UAAUGACCGAGUAUCUAGUUCAGGGUGGGCAUUAGGCUAACUUCAUACCUCAUUUGAUGUGAGGUCUGUUGAUGUGAUCAAUUGCUUGAGUGAAGUCGCCAGAGUCUUUCAUCAGGCAUCUGCUCACAGAAGGAGGCUUUUCAUUAUGGACACUUGGUUCAUACCUGCACAUCAGAGCACAGGCCCUCUGCCCCUCUCCAACCCACCUUGGGUCAGCCAGAACCAGGGGCCAGUGCUGCCCUUUGUUGCAGGUUAUUCAGCAGCUGCUUCAACCCACUGACAAUAUUCAUUCCACGCCUUCUUCCAUUGUCUGAUGCCCCUGUUCUCUGCCCCUGAUGCCUCUAUUCUCUA